This 834-nucleotide long non-coding RNA is filed under the name Heterocephalus glaber (naked mole-rat). RNAcentral describes it as "lncRNA (ENSHGLG00000040903.1)". Lineage: Eukaryota; Metazoa; Chordata; Mammalia; Rodentia; Bathyergidae. The record is from RNAcentral.
AGGACCCUCCAUUGAGUCUGUUUUCCUUCUCUCCCGUCCAGAACCAGCCAUGUCCUGAAAUCUGUCCCCAAACCAGGGCCGCCUACCCAAGACUGCAGGGGCUGCAUCUCCACUGCCUACGACCUCCUCCUCCCGGGCCAUGCAUGUCACUGGAGACACAAGAGUCCGGGACAUGAAAACCCUGGAAACUAAACCGCCCUUCCUGAGUAAACCAUGACUACAGGCAUGAAGUUUCCAGUCGAUGGGCACUUGGGCUGUUUUCAAGCUUUUGCCAUUAAAAACUGCUGCUAUAACCAUGAGUGCACAUAUAUCGCUGUGUUGAUUUUUUUUUGAUCCAUGUUUAACGGGCUUUGGCACAGAACAAGUGGACUUCGGAAAAAAAGCAUUCAUGCUAUUUUGAGCCUUCCUGCGUGGACCCCAGAGGCCAGCACUGUCCACAGACUGUGCCCCCACCCUGGCUCGCACCUGGCUCUGUGAACACAGACUGCAGAAUGGGAAAGGGCAGGAGACACCAAUCCCUGCCAAGACUUGAGCUGCCGUGCUUCUGCCUCAGGAAACAGGCGAGGCUGAGAGGAAGCCCCCGCAGGUGUCUGCAUGUGAGCAUCCCCGCCAACCAGGGAAAACAACAGUUCCAACAUGAGGCGCUGCCUGGCACUUGACCAGCUGCCUGGAAAGCCUGCUUAUAAAGCCUGCUAUAUAACCUCCCUGCUUCCAAACUCAGAAUGACCCUGGGCCAGUCUGGUACAGCUCCAGUUAGUUUGCCUAUUUAUACUUCUAAUAUUUUCAAAAGAAACCCAAAGCCUAAAUAAUUAAAGAAAGAGCAAAAUAAAAGAC